Molecule: long non-coding RNA, 1932 nt
Filed under: Ananas comosus (pineapple)
Lineage: Eukaryota; Viridiplantae; Streptophyta; Magnoliopsida; Poales; Bromeliaceae
Description: long non-coding RNA (ACOM_LNC005691)
Source: RNAcentral
AUCAUAUGAUUCAAAAUAUAACACUUUUCUCUUUUGACAUUUAUGUUUUAGCUUUUUUGUAACAAUUUGAUACUAAAAAAGGUAGUACAGUAUUAGAGCGUAUUUUCAAAUACCAUUUAUUCAUUUUUAUUCAACGGUUCAAAUUUAAUUCUUUUAAAAUUAUGACCUGCAAUAUCAGAUUAUUUUGAGAGGCGUACAAAUUACCAUAUACUCCAAAGAGGAUAAUUUUAGGGUGCGUUUGGUUUGAAGUCGGAACCGGAAUCAAAAUCGGAAUCGAAAUAACUCAUUACCUAAUUUUGUUUGGUUCGUUACCUGAAUCGGAAUCGGAAUAAAUCAUUCCCAUUGUCGGUAUUUGGUUCAAGUAGAUAUAAAAAACGUAAUCAAAUUAGUAUACUAAUUUAUCUUUAUAAUAUAUUAAUUUAAAUUCAAAUUAAAAAUUAAAUAUUAAAAAUUUACAACAAAAUUUUGAAAUAAUGUCAAAAUUUUAAAUCUAUUUUUUUUAAAAAAAUUAAACUUUGAAGUUGAGUGGAUAAUUCAAAAUAUAAAACUAAAUUUCGAUUUAUCCAAAUUCAAACUUAAAAUUACAAUUUAAAAUUUAAUUUAAGUUUUAAAUAAAAUUUGAAGAAAACUUUAUAUAAAUUAAAAUUUAAUUUAAAUUCAAAUUCAUAAGUUAGAUUCGAAAUAUUUGAUUAAAUUUAAAUUUUUAAUUCAAAUUCAAAUUAAAAUUUAAAAUUAUAAAUUUAAUUUCUAAAUUUAAUCUCAUAUUUUAAUUAAAAAAAGUUGAAAAAAUAAAUUUAAUCCGAAUAAAUAUCUAUUCCGUCUAAAUUCAACUUCCAAUCCGGCCUCCUGAUUGGGGAUUUUCAUUCCACUCGAGAAUCAGAAUCGGAAUGGAACUCCCGCGAGCCAAACACCCACAAACGGAUUCGCCCAUUCCUAUUCCGAUUCCUGGGUGAAAUAGAAGCGAACCAAACACGCCCUUAUUAGUCUUUUAAUGCGUGGGUAAUUUAGUAAUUUUACCUCUACUAUAGCAUCAAAUCUCUCUUCUCUCUUUUAUUCCUCUUUCUCUUUCUAUCUUUCCUCUUCAUCCACAGUAGAGAUGUAAAGGAGUCGGAUUUGAGACAGAUAUUUAAAAAUCCAAACCCGAAUCUGACUAUCAACCAAAAAUCCAAAUCCAAAUCCAAAUCCAAAUCCGAAAAAUUUUAGAAAAUUAUAUCCACACUCGUAACUUAAAAUCCGAAACCCGAACCCAACCCUAAACCCGAAACAUUAUUAUUCCUGUUUACAAUAUUUCAAAAUAUAUUUAUAUCAAUUACCCAUAUUCAUUUUUUUGAGCAGGGCUAUUGUGCUAUUAGAAACACAGCAGUCCUUAUGCUCCUAACUUUUUAACCAUCUAUCAAAUUUGAUGAAUGGUUAGGAUGAGAGAGAGAAGAGAAAUUAAAGAAAAAUUAAAAGAGAAAAGAAAAUGAGACACCCAAUUUCUUGAGACACCCAAUUUCUCCUCAAUUUUUCUUUUCUCUCUCAUCCUAAGUUAGGAAGUUAUGAGCAUAAGGACAGUUCUGCUCCUGAUAGCAUAGUAGCCCGCUCCAUUUUUUUUAAAAAAAAUAGUGCUACAAAAUUAGUAUCUAAACUAGAAAAGUUUUUAAUUUUUUUAAACAUAUUAAAUAUGUUGAAUUUAAAUAUUUACCUACAUUCAGUUUUUAAAUUAGUAAUACAAAAUUAAUUCAAAAUUUUAUUAAACAUAUUAAAUACGAUGAAUUUAAAUAUUUAUCAAUAUUACAAUUUUUUUAAAUAAUAAUACAAAAUUAAUGUCUAAAGUAGAAAAUUUCUAAAAUUUUUUAAAACAUAUUAAAUACGUUGAAUUUAAAUUUUUAGCCUGUACAAUUCUAUUUUAAAAAAAAAAUUGAAUUAUACACAAUAUUCCUAAUCAAUUAC